RNAcentral lists this ribosomal RNA (492 nucleotides) under uncultured bacterium. RNAcentral describes it as "partial 16S ribosomal RNA". It matches the Rfam family "Bacterial small subunit ribosomal RNA", at positions 29 to 507 of the family's 1533-position model. The record is from RNAcentral.
AGUGAACGCUGGCGGUAGGCCUAACGCAUGCAAGUCGAACGGCAGCACAGUAAGAGCUUGCUCUUACGGGUGGCGAGUGGCGGACGGGUGAGGAAUACAUCGGAAUCUACUUUUUCGUGGGGGAUAACGUAGGGAAACUUACGCUAAUACCGCAUACGACCUACGGGUGAAAGCAGGGGAUCUUCGGACCUUGCGCGAUUGAAUGAGCCGAUGUCGGAUUAGCUAGUUGGCGGGGUAAAGGCCCACCAAGGCGACGAUCCGUAGCUGGUCUGAGAGGAUGAUCAGCCACACUGGAACUGAGACACGGUCCAGACUCCUACGGGAGGCAGCAGUGGGGAAUAUUGGACAAUGGGCGCAAGCCUGAUCCAGCCAUACCGCGUGGGUGAAGAAGGCCUUCGGGUUGUAAAGCCCUUUUGUUGGGAAGGAAAAGCAGCAGGUUAAUACCCCGCUGUUCUGACGGUACCCAAAGAAUAAGCACCGGCUAACUUCGUG